Molecule: non-coding RNA, 114 nt
Submitted as: unclassified sequences
Source: Rfam
AAGCGUUGAAGCAUAGUAGCGUACCGGCAAGCCUUGCUAUGCGGAGCUUUCGAGAGGGGUUGUGCAGCGAAACCUCAAGCCGGAGUAGGCGAAAGCCGAAAGAAAAUGCUCAAA